This 1046-nucleotide long non-coding RNA is filed under the name Monodelphis domestica (gray short-tailed opossum). RNAcentral describes it as "lncRNA (ENSMODG00000035506.2)". The record is from RNAcentral. Lineage: Eukaryota; Metazoa; Chordata; Mammalia; Didelphimorphia; Didelphidae.
ACAUAAGGCUUCCCCUCAUCUACUCAACUUGCCUGGGAGUCUGGUUACAUAUGGUCCCAAAAAGAGAGGUAGAAAUCAAGGUGGUGUUAGAUGGGAUGUGAAGCAUGACUAAGGCUGGCUUGAUAAAAUUUCUUCUGAGUUUGUACUCACUAAUCAGAAAAGACAAAAGGGCAAAAAUUUGUCCUGGUAAAAUUCUAAAGCUGAAUAGAUGAAGUCUUUUUAAGGCAUGGUCUCUGAUUCAGAGAGUGUAAGAUAGGACAAACAGCAGAAGAUAACAGAGGAAGGGUACUGGGAACUGCUUCUCCCCCCCCCCCCCGCCCCCAGUUUUUCUAACAAGUGAUUUAUAAUGAUUUCCCUCCACAUCCCAUACCCCCAUCAAGGUUUAGAUGAUAGCUUUGACUAUCCCACUCACUUGUUCCCAGGGAGACUUGAGAGGAUUUGACACUCAGAGAGAAAUUUAAGUAUUUCAUUAAGCUCUUGGAUUUGUGUGGGCUUUGUACACUCAGAGAAAAGACGGUCUUUGUGUUCCUGAGAGAAGUGUGGAAGAGGCAUGGAGGAAGAGAGAAUUUCAGGCUUGCGAAACAAAGCUGGGGACAUGAUCUGUCAGUCAAGAAGGAAGAUCAGGCCUCAGAACUGUCAUAUCUAAACCUGAUGUCUGUGACCAAAACUUUUUUGGAAAUAAGACUGGUAGCAUGUUUCUGGUGUCUGGACAAAUACUGUGAAGCCUGAGGUUGCCAGGACUGCAACUCAAGAGAGAAAUACCAGAAUGCCUCCACACAUAUUACUAGUUCCUUCCCUCUGGGAUUACCUCCCAUUUACACUAUCUAUCUAUCUAUCUAUCUAUCUAUCUAUCUAUCUAUCUAUCUAUCUAUCUAUCUAGUAUGUUCUGGGUAUUUGUGUAAUGUCUCUUCCCAUUAAAAUGUGAUCUCUCUGAGGGAUGGGAGUAUAUUUUUUAACCUUUCUUUGUAUCCCUAGUGGCUAAUGUAGGGCCUGGCACACAGUAAUGGUUUAAUAAAUGCUUAUUUGAUUGGUUGAUUAAGAAGAGA